UUGAACGCUGGCGGCAGGCCUAACACAUGCCAGUCGAGCGGAUGAAGGGAGCUUGCUCCUGGAUUCAGCGGCGGACGGGUGAGUAAUGCCUAGGAAUCUGCCUGGUAGUGGGGGAUAACGUCCGGAAACGGGCGCUAAUACCGCAUACGUCCUGAGGGAGAAAGUGGGGGAUCUUCGGACCUCACGCUAUCAGAUGAGCCUAGGUCGGAUUAGCUAGUUGGUGGGGUAAAGGCCUACCAAGGCGACGAUCCGUAACUGGUCUGAGAGGAUGAUCAGUCACACUGGAACUGAGACACGGUCCAGACUCCUACGGGAGGCAGCAGUGGGGAAUAUUGGACAAUGGGCGAAAGCCUGAUCCAGCCAUGCCGCGUGUGUGAAGAAGGUCUUCGGAUUGUAAAGCACUUUAAGUCGGGAGGAAGGGCAGUAAGUUAAUACCUUGCUGUUUUGACGUUACCAACAGAAUAAGCACCGGCUAACUUCGUG
This 483-nucleotide ribosomal RNA is filed under the name uncultured bacterium. RNAcentral's name for it is "partial 16S ribosomal RNA". It matches the Rfam family "Bacterial small subunit ribosomal RNA", at positions 30 to 507 of the family's 1533-position model. The record is from RNAcentral.